RNAcentral lists this ribosomal RNA (253 nucleotides) under uncultured bacterium. RNAcentral describes it as "partial 16S ribosomal RNA". It matches the Rfam family "Bacterial small subunit ribosomal RNA", at positions 524 to 776 of the family's 1533-position model. The record is from RNAcentral.
GACGAACCGUGCGAACGUUGUUCGGAAUCACUGGGCUUAAAGGGCGCGUAGGCGGACUGCCAAGUCCGGGGUGAAAUCCUCCGGCUUAACCGGAGAAUUGCCUGGGAUACUGGCGGUCUUGAGGGAGGUAGGGGCACGCGGAACUUCCGGUGGAGCGGUGAAAUGCGUUGAUAUCGGAAGGAACGCCGGUGGCGAAAGCGGCGUGCUGGCCCUCUUCUGACGCUGAGGCGCGAAAGCCAGGGGAGCGAACGGG